This 300-nucleotide ribosomal RNA is filed under the name Phrynocrinus nudus. RNAcentral describes it as "partial 16S ribosomal RNA". It matches the Rfam family "Bacterial large subunit ribosomal RNA", at positions 2257 to 2643 of the family's 2925-position model. Lineage: Eukaryota; Metazoa; Echinodermata; Crinoidea; Bourgueticrinida; Phrynocrinidae. The record is from RNAcentral.
UAUAAAAAUAUCUUUGGUUGGGGCAACCACGAAGAAAAAACAACCUUCGUAAACUAAAAAAAUAAACAAAUUUAAAACUAAACUAAUAAGAUCCGGAACUACCGAACAAAGAAAAAAGUUACCGCAGGGAUAACAGCGCCAUUCUCUUUGAGAGUUCAUAUUGACAAGAGAGUUUACGACCUCGAUGUUGGACCGGGGCACCCCAGGGGUGCAGCAGCCCCUAAAGGUAGGUCUGUUCGACCUUUAAAGCCCUACGCGAUCUGAGUUCAGACCGACGCAAGUCAGGUCAGUUUCUAUCUA